GUAGGUAUGUAUGUAUGUAAGUAUGUAUGUAGGUAGGUAUGUAUGUAUGUAUGUAGGUAGGUAGGUAGGUAUGUAUGUAGGUAUGUAGGUAGGUAGGUAUGUAUGUAUGUAUGUAGGUAUGUAAGUAAGUAGGUAUGUGUGUAUGUAUGUGUGUAUGUAUGUAGGUAGGUAGGUGGGUAUGUAGGUAUGUAUGUAU
This is a long non-coding RNA of Ictalurus furcatus (blue catfish), 196 nucleotides long. RefSeq lists it as uncharacterized. NCBI's taxonomy places the organism in Eukaryota, Metazoa, Chordata, Actinopteri, Siluriformes, Ictaluridae. The transcript is spliced from 3 exons. The record is from RefSeq and is a predicted model, not a curated record.